GGGAAGAAAGGGAUACGGAUUAUUGGGCGUAAGCGCGCGCAGGCGGUUUCUUAAGUCUGAUGUGAAAGCCCACGGCUCAACCGUGGAGGGUCAUUGGAAACUGGGGAACUUGAGUGCAGAAGAGAAAAGCGGAAUUCCACGUGUAGCGGUGAAAUGCGUAGAGAUGUGGAGGAACACCAGUGGCGAAGGCGGCUUUUUGGUCUGUAACUGACGCUGAGGCGCGAAAGCGUGGGGAGCAAACAGGAUUAGAUACCCUGGUAGUCCACGCCGUAAACGAUGAGUGCUAAGUGUUAGAGGGUUUCCGCCCUUUAGUGCUGCAGCUAACGCAUUAAGCACUCCGCCUGGGGAGUACGGUCGCAAGACUGAAACUCAAAGGAAUUGACGGGGGCCCGCACAAGCGGUGGAACAUGUGGUUUAAUUCGAAGCAACGCGAAGAACCUUACGAGGUCUUGAUGUCUUUUUCCAGCUCCGGGGAAA
This 477-nucleotide ribosomal RNA is filed under the name uncultured bacterium. Its description in RNAcentral is "bacterial SSU rRNA". It matches the Rfam family "Bacterial small subunit ribosomal RNA", at positions 529 to 1006 of the family's 1533-position model. The record is from RNAcentral.